AACCUAUCGAGAGUGACAGAGAGACGGACUCAAUGAAGUCACAGCAACCUAAAAUACUGUUAGGUGCUAAUUUCCGCAAGAGAGGGAACAUUUCCCUGUGUGGCAAAACCCCUCUUGAAAGAUGGGAC
RNAcentral lists this non-coding RNA (128 nucleotides) under Corallococcus sp. Its description in RNAcentral is "SAM-I sequence". It matches the Rfam family "SAM riboswitch aptamer (S box leader)". From Rfam's summary of the family: The SAM riboswitch is found upstream of a number of genes which code for proteins involved in methionine or cysteine biosynthesis in Gram-positive bacteria. The SAM riboswitch acts at the level of transcription termination control. Lineage: Bacteria; Pseudomonadati; Myxococcota; Myxococcia; Myxococcales; Myxococcaceae. The record is from RNAcentral.